RNAcentral lists this ribosomal RNA (393 nucleotides) under uncultured bacterium. Its description in RNAcentral is "partial 16S ribosomal RNA". It matches the Rfam family "Bacterial small subunit ribosomal RNA", at positions 523 to 918 of the family's 1533-position model. The record is from RNAcentral.
AUACGGAGGAUCCGAGCGUUAUCCGGAUUUAUUGGGUUUAAAGGGUGCGCAGGCGGCCAUUUAAGUCAGCGGUUAAAUCGUGGGGCUCAACCCCAUUCUGCCGUUGAUACUGGGUGGCUUGAUUGCGGUCGAGGUUGGCGGAAUUCGUUGUGUAGCGGUGAAAUGCAUAGAUAUCACGAAGAACUCCGAUCGCGAAGGCAGCCUUCCGGCCCGUCAACGACGCUCAUGCUCGAAGGUGCGGGUAUCAAACAGGAUUAGAUACCCUGGUAGUCCGCACAGUAAACGAUGGACACCCGCGGUUUGGUCUAUAUGGCUGAGCCGCCAAGCGAAAGCGUUAAGUGUCCCACCUGGGGAGUACGCCGGCAACGGUGAAACUCAAAUGAAUUGACGGGG